AUGCACCUUUGUUAAGGUGCAUUCAAAGUUCACUCAGAAUUAUAGUAGAUAAGUUAGCUUGUAAAAUAAUGGACAGAAACCCCGUGUCAUGUCUCAGUUUCUCGUAUAGAUGUAAUGUUACAACGCUCUAAUGUGGAAAAAAUACUGUGCUGGCUUAAGGCAAUAAGUUAAGGUAAUUUUGGAAAUGUGCGACUUUAUCUGUAUAUUUACCUAACAUUACAACAAAAUUGUCUUUCAUGAGAUUUAAACUCUGAAGAGGCUGCAGUUUCAGGACCGUGAUUCUAGGACCCCAGCAUCACCUACCAAAUUUCACAACAAUGGACCGCAUUGUUACAUGGACAGUGUAUGCAUAUAACAAUCCAAGAACAAGAGAUCUUUGCCAGAAUUGAUAAGAUGCACUACAUGCUACAAGGACUUCCACUGCCCGUCCUGUAGCUCAACUAGCCAUUUCAACUGAGCAGUUCUUCAAGAAGGUUACACUGAGAGGAAUUUCAUGAAGGAACACUUCCCUGCUGGGCUGAUACCAAUGGAGUUUUGCAAGACAGGUAAAACUUAUUUAUUCUACAUAGGAUAGUCCUCAGUAAUGUGUGUUUCAUCAUAAAAUGAUGAAAAUCAAUGACACUUUUGCACUUAAGUGUUAAAUGUUAAAUCUUUA
Micropterus dolomieu (smallmouth bass) is the source of this 655-nucleotide long non-coding RNA. RefSeq lists it as uncharacterized. Lineage: Eukaryota; Metazoa; Chordata; Actinopteri; Centrarchiformes; Centrarchidae. The record is from RefSeq and is a predicted model, not a curated record. The transcript is spliced from 3 exons.